Molecule: long non-coding RNA, 676 nt
Filed under: Ananas comosus (pineapple)
Lineage: Eukaryota; Viridiplantae; Streptophyta; Magnoliopsida; Poales; Bromeliaceae
Description: long non-coding RNA (ACOM_LNC022522)
Source: RNAcentral
AAUAAGAAGCACGACACCAACCCAAAAACUCUUAUAUAAUCAACUCUGUAAAUACUCUCUGUUAGUUAAUUCGUGAAUUAUUCGCGAAUUAUUAAAAAUCCGAAUACAACAGACCGUAUGUGAAUUUUUUUCAAAAAAAAAAAAUAAAACGUGAAUUUUUUGGGCUAGCCAAAUUAUUCAUGAAUUAUUCACGAAUUUAGUAGCAUAAAUUUAGAAAAAAAAAAGUUUAAUUUAAUAGUCGAAUUUUUUAUUACGAACUUCUAAUUGAUGAACAUAUAAUAUACAUAUAAAUCGCGUAUCCGAAUAAUUGAUGAAUCUGUUUUUUAAGCUAUAUUUUUUAACGAAUUUAUUAAUUAGGAUACGAAUUUUAGUUGUAUUAUAUUCGUACUGAAUUUUUACUGAAUCCGAAUUAACUAACUAUAUAAAUACUAUGUGCAUAAAAUAUUACGCAGAUCAGUCCUCAGUCUCCUCCAAAAAUCACCCUCUCUCUCUCUCUCUCUCUCAGUAGAAAAGAAAAGAAAUGAAAAAAAAAAAAAGAGAGAGAGAAAGCACCUCAGCCAACCUAUACAUAUAAUUUCAGCCAAAUACCCACUUUCGGAUGCCCGAAAUUCAAUUCGUGAGUCUAAAAUCUUGUCUCUUUCACAUCACUCACCAAUUCAUUUUCGAGCUCAGAUUC